Molecule: ribosomal RNA, 515 nt
Filed under: uncultured bacterium
Lineage: Bacteria
Description: partial 16S ribosomal RNA
Rfam family: Bacterial small subunit ribosomal RNA
Source: RNAcentral
GAUGAACGCUGGCGGCGUGCCUAAUACAUGCAAGUCGAGCGAAUGGAUUAAGAGCUUGCUCUUAUGAAGUUAGCGGCGGACGGGUGAGUAACACGUGGGUAACCUGCCCAUAAGACUGGGAUAACUCCGGGAAACCGGGGCUAAUACCGGAUAACAUUUUGAACCGCAUGGUUCGAAAUUGAAAGGCGGCUUCGGCUGUCACUUAUGGAUGGACCCGCGUCGCAUUAGCUAGUUGGUGAGGUAACGGCUCACCAAGGCAACGAUGCGUAGCCGACCUGAGAGGGCGAUCGGCCACAUUGGGACUGAGACACGUCCCAGACUCCUACGGGAGGCAGCAGUAGGGAAUCUUCCGCAAUGGACGAAAGUCUGACGGAGCAACGCCGCGUGAGUGAUGAAGGCUUUCGGGUCGUAAAACUCUGUUGUUAGGGAAGAACAAGUGCUAGUUGAAUAAGCUGGCACCUUGACGGUACCUAACCAGAAAGCCACGGCUAACUACGUGCCAGCAGCCGCAGUAA